UAAAAAUGGUAAUAAAAUAUUUUGGGUAUAAAAGAAGUAUGGUAAUAAAUAUACCUUUUCAGAAAAUUUAAAGUUAAUCAAGUUGAAUAACGAUUUAAAGAAAGAAGAGGCAAAAAAAAUUGAAUUCGAAUUAAAAAUUGAAGAAUUAAAACAAAACAUAGAUUUCUAUACCAGUCAAGCAGAGAAUUUUAGUAAACGAUUAAACUACGGGAAAAAAAUGUAUUCACAGUUUGAAUUAGCUACCGAAUGUUCCAAAAGAUUUAUCAGUCUAUAUAAUUCACCAUCAUCAGAUUAUUCAAUGGAAAGACGAGACGUCUAUAACUUUGAUAUUAGCGAUUUUUCCAAUGAAAUUGAACAACUCUAUCGGAAAAUACAAGAAAAUGUCACUAUAAUUAACGAUCUUUCAAAUGAUCUAAUGGUUUACAAAGAAACUUAGUUUUUUGUAUUUAUUGAUGUUUUGUAAUUCAGUUCUGGUAUA
This is a long non-coding RNA of Diorhabda sublineata, 478 nucleotides long. RefSeq lists it as uncharacterized. The record is from RefSeq and is a predicted model, not a curated record. The transcript has 3 exons. NCBI's taxonomy places the organism in Eukaryota, Metazoa, Arthropoda, Insecta, Coleoptera, Chrysomelidae.